Molecule: microRNA, 20 nt
Filed under: Ciona intestinalis (vase tunicate)
Lineage: Eukaryota; Metazoa; Chordata; Ascidiacea; Phlebobranchia; Cionidae
Description: cin-miR-4112-5p
Source: miRBase by way of RNAcentral
AUACAUUCAUUUUGACAUAC